Erinaceus europaeus (western European hedgehog) is the source of this 338-nucleotide unclassified non-coding RNA. Its record names the gene 7SK. It matches the Rfam family "7SK RNA". Rfam says of the family: 7SK was discovered as an abundant small nuclear RNA in the mid-70s but a possible function has only recently been suggested. Two independent studies have found that 7SK RNA binds the CDK9/cyclin T complex (known as elongation factor P-TEFb). P-TEFb activates transcription by phosphorylating the C-terminal domain of RNA polymerase II. The record is from Ensembl. Lineage: Eukaryota; Metazoa; Chordata; Mammalia; Eulipotyphla; Erinaceidae.
AGAAAAGAAUGCAGUCUAGCGAUGCAACAUCUGUCACCUCACUGAUCUCCAGGAUUGAUUCAGCUCAUCUGGCUGGCUAGGUGGGUGUCCCCUUCCCCCCUCACUGUUCCAUAUGUGUCCCUCUCGAAGCUGCACACUUGGUCGAAGAGGACGGCCUUCCCCGAAUAGAGACCGACCAGUCUUCAGUUGAGGGUAUACGAGUAGUUGUGGCGUUCCCCUGCUAGAACCUCCAAACAAGCUCUCAAGAAUGCAGUCUAGAAUGUUCCUAGCUAUGACCAUGGAAUGCAAGUUGAGACCAACAGGGAUCCAGAGGUUACACAGGCUCCUGUGUUAAAUAU